Molecule: ribosomal RNA, 310 nt
Filed under: uncultured bacterium
Lineage: Bacteria
Description: bacterial SSU rRNA
Rfam family: Bacterial small subunit ribosomal RNA
Source: RNAcentral
AAUCAACGCUGGCGGCGUGCCUCAGACAUGCAAGUCGAACGCGAAAGUUCCCUUCGGGGGAGCAAGUAGAGUGGCGCACGGGUGAGUAACACGUAGGUAAUUUGCCUUCGGGUGGGGAAGUAACAGUCGGAAACGACUGCUAAUACCGCAUAAUGCAGCGGCUCGACAUCGAGACAGGUUGUUAAAGGCGGGGGAUCCUUCGGGACCUCGCGCCUGAAGAGAAGCCUGCGGCAGAUUAGGCUAGUUGGUGAGGUAAUGGCCCACCAAGGCUACGAUCUGUAACCGGCCUGAGAGGGCGGUCGGUCACACU